UUUGCACUGGGAUAGCCUCGGGAACCGAGGUUAAUACCGGAUACCCCAUAUUUGUCGCAUGGCGAAUAUGGGAAGCUCCGGCGGCAAAGGAUGGGCCCGCGGCCUGUUAGCUAGUUGGUGGGGGUAGUGGCCUACCAAGGCAAUGAUGGGUAGCCGGGUUGAGAGACCGACCGGCCAGAUUGGGACUGAGACACGGCCCAGACUCCUACGGGAGGCAGCAGUG
This 223-nucleotide ribosomal RNA is filed under the name uncultured Atopobium sp. RNAcentral's name for it is "partial 16S ribosomal RNA". It matches the Rfam family "Bacterial small subunit ribosomal RNA", at positions 132 to 356 of the family's 1533-position model. Lineage: Bacteria; Bacillati; Actinomycetota; Coriobacteriia; Coriobacteriales; Atopobiaceae. The record is from RNAcentral.